ACACAGAGCUUUCCAAACUCAGCCCUGGGCACAUCUGUUCCUUCAUCCAGGCUUUCCACCCUGCGUGGCUCUCACCCUUGUGUGUCCGUCCUUGUUUCUUAGAGGAGUCGUGUGCCUCCAAAUGCAUAUGCCUACGACCUUUUCUUUCUCUUGCCUGAAAUGCCAAACUUCAUUCUCCAUCAGGUGAAUUCCAACUCACCCCUGAAGAUGAGCUCAACUGUCUCUCUUGUGUGAAGCCUUCCCUGACACCCCUGAGAAUUUUCCAUCCACGUCACCACAGAGUAAUGUCCAUCCUCCUGUAGAACCAUUCACUCAUCACAGGGUAAUGAGGAAAAUGAGGCAGCCAGAUGGAGUCCCAGCAAAAGCAGACUUCAGGCAGAAGGAACGGCAAGUCCAGGGCUCUGGAUGAGAGAAGAUCAACAACAGGAGACAGAGGGACCCCUCUAGAGGCAGGAGGAAAGAUAAAUGGCCACAGGCUGCUGUCAUCUAGGCCAGGGUUCUGGCAGCAAUGAAAACACGUCUGCAGGAGGAGAAAGAAGUGCUUUUGAAUCCAUCUUACUCAUCGUCUGUCUCUUGUCUCUUCAAAGUGAAUGCAGUUGGAAGGAAAGGGACAGGUUGGUUCUGUGCUUUGCCCAAGUAGGUCCAAAUUCUGUUUUUUUUCAGGAUGUAGCAGGGUGAGCUGUUCUGACAAACUUGAUCUUAGCACAACAGGGGCAGUAAGGUCAUCAUCCCCACCAGUCCUUUGCCCUAGGAUUACAGGACCUGCCCCCAGAGGGACAGGAGCUCAUCCUACACUGUCCCAGUGUUUCUGUGAAACACCUUAGCUCCCUGGCUGAUUCCCCAGUGGCUCAGGGGCCCAGGGAGCCUCCUCACACCCAAGGUCCCUGUCCCCAGGUGUGGGGGAUCCCUAUGUAUGACAUUGUGGGUGACUGGGACUCCUCACUGAACAGGAUCAGUAAAGGGCCUGCCUGGCUCUAGGCACUCAUUCAGCUGCACUGGAAUUUGGAGAAAGAGGCUGCAGAAUACACCCCUAGCCCUAAUUAGGAAAGAAACAGAGUGGUCUUGAGUCAACUCCUGAAAGCUGUGUGUGCCCUGGAUCAAUGGCCCACGGGACAUGUAGAACAGAGGCAGGAAGUCCCACUGUAAAUGGCAGACUUCAGUUUCCAGGACUUAGAUUCCACUGGGAAGCAGCUGUCCAAUUCACAAAAUUGUCAGUGAUCAAAAUAAAUAUAAUAAAGUAGUUCAUUUUAAGCAAUGCAAAGAAAGCUGAGUGGCAGAUAAAGCUAAAGAUGAGCUCCAGAUGCCACCAGGCAUAGCACGUGGAGGGACUGCAUACCCGCGUCCAGCGUAACUUACAACUCCUGGAAUGCUGGGACUGUGCAGUGUUAAUUCUAAUGGCCCAUGGAGGCAUAAUUAAUUAACCUUUCAGUUACUCUGGGCACUGCCCUUAUCCAAACAUAAAUAUGUGUAUGCCGGGAAAAUUUUGCAAUAUAGAAAGCCGACAUCGUUGACUCCUUAUUCAUAGGCAAAUCCAGUGCUUUUCAAUUUUGACUGUGCAGCAGAAUCACCGAUGGAUUUUAUUUUUAAAAUAGGGGUACGUAUGUCUCAUCUCACCCAGGGUGAGGUCCAUGGAUCUAAUGUUAUGAAGCCCACAGUGGGUCCCAAAUCCCAGCUGAGCUCCAGGACUAGGAAUGUCACCCAGCCUCCCUGCUGUAGAGCUGCACCAUGGCUUUCGUUCUUCCCGUGGUGGAAACAAAGCUUGCCUAGAGUUUCUGGAUGCAGCAUCUCUCCGAAAACAAGCUGGGGCUCUGCCGCCCUCACUGGAGCACAGCCAGUGCUGUGGAGCCCCCAGAGUGGCCACAGGGAUAGAGGGGACUUAAAACUGAGUAGGGGGCAACAGAGUUGGGGGUCUAUCCACCACAUGUGGACACACAGCAAGUCAGGCAUGUGGGAAGGAGGGAACAGCAGCGUGGAAUGGAAAUGGCAAAUGUUCAUCCAGCCAGGUGUUAUUUUAUUUAUGGCUUCUGGGGAAAUGGGAUGAACAAUUUCAGAACAGCCUUGGGUUGAACUUGAUGCUGCAAAUGGAACUUAAUUGCUCAAAUAAUGUCAUAUCAAUUUCAUAUAAAUGAUAAAGAAGGAAAGUCCCUCUUUCUAGAGAGAAAACUCUCCUGACGGCAUCAGGCUGUCCUGGGAAGUCACUGCUUCCCUUUUCUGUUGUGGGGCAUAACGGGAGAUGAAGCUGGGAAUUGACAAUCUCUUUUUUCUGCUGGACUGAAACCUCCUGGAGCAGAAAAAUAGUUUUUUAUUUUGCAAAUGAAAGUCAAAGAUGUGGCAGGAGUUGAGGGUGGGCAUUGCAAGAGCUAAAUCCGGUGCUUCUGACAGCCCAGCCCUAGUGAGAGGCCCCUUCUGAGAGUCCCAGGGACUCUUAUGUAAAUGAAACUCAAAUAGAGCUCCCCACAGCACCUGAGCUUAGGGUCACCAGGCUCUGGGACUCUGUAUGUGCUCCCAGGAGAUUCCAUCCCCAGGAUAACACUGCAGGUCAAUUUGUGCUUUUCCUACCAUGCAAACCAUACUCUGGUAACUGUGCAGGAUUCUAAGAAAUAAACUUAUUGA
Molecule: long non-coding RNA, 2613 nt
Filed under: Homo sapiens (human)
Lineage: Eukaryota; Metazoa; Chordata; Mammalia; Primates; Hominidae
Description: HSALNT0393229
Source: RNAcentral